GAGGAGGAGGACGUCGGGGUGGCGGUAGAGAAGGAGUCGUCGGACCCCCGGGCCGACUUCCGUGACAGCAUGGUGCAGAUGGUGGUGGAGAUGGGGCUCUGCGACUGGGACGGCCUCCGCUGCAUGCUUCGCCGCCUGCUCGCCCUCAACGCGCCGCGCCACCACGCCGCCAUCCUCGCUGCCUUCGCCGAGGUCUGCGCCCAGCUCGCCUCGGAGCCUCCCCCGCCGCCGCCUCCGGCGUAUCAAUACGACUACUACUACUGA
RNAcentral lists this ribosomal RNA (264 nucleotides) under Triticum aestivum (bread wheat). RNAcentral describes it as "partial small subunit ribosomal RNA". The record is from RNAcentral. Lineage: Eukaryota; Viridiplantae; Streptophyta; Magnoliopsida; Poales; Poaceae.